RNAcentral lists this ribosomal RNA (450 nucleotides) under uncultured bacterium. RNAcentral's name for it is "bacterial SSU rRNA". It matches the Rfam family "Bacterial small subunit ribosomal RNA", at positions 355 to 796 of the family's 1533-position model. The record is from RNAcentral.
UGGGGAAUUGUUCGCAAUGGGCGCAAGCCUGACGACGCAACGCCGCGUGGAGGAUGAAGACCUUCGGGUCGUAAACUCCUUUCGACCGAGAAGAAUGGCUCACGACCUCAUACGUCGUGAGCAUGACGGUAUCGAGGGAAGAAGCCCCGGCUAACUCUGUGCCAGCAGCCGCGGUAAUACAGGGGGGGCAAGCGUUGUUCGGAAUUACUGGGCGUAAAGGGUCUGUAGGUGGCCAACUAAGUCAGACGUGAAAUCCCUCAGCUUAACUGGGGAACUGCGUCUGAUACUGGAUGGCUUGAGUGUGGGAGAGGAAUGCGGAAUUCCAGGUGUAGCGGUGAAAUGCGUAGAUAUCUGGAGGAACACCGGUGGCGAAGGCGGCAUUCUGGACCAUAACUGACACUGAGAGACGAAAGCCAGGGGAGCAAACGGGAUUAGAUACCCGCGUAGUCC